UCUUCAUCUUUGAUCAACGCCUUGAGCUUUUCAGAUGAUAUGUGACCUAGUUUGUUGUACUAUAUUCUGGAAUCCAGAAAUGUGUAUGCAAAAGCAGGGGGACCAGACUUGAAUAGGUAGAGUUCAUCUUGACAUCUACCCUGCCCAAUCACUAUCCCUGAUUGGUUUUCCUGAAAAUAGCAACCACUAUUGUCAAAAAAUAUUUUUAAAUCAUUAUUCAAAGUUAAUUUGCUUACUGAAAUUAAAUUAACUUUGAAUUGCGGAAUAUAUAGAACAUCUUUUAAAAUGAUGUUUUUAGAUAGAGUUAUAUCUCCAGUGGAUUUAAUUUUACAUAUUUCACCACUGGGUAUAGUAACAAAAUGCUCCUGAUUUUUAUUUGGAGGUCUAUCAAAAUAUUCUAGAUUCCCAGUCAUAUGUUGGGAAGCACCUGUAUCAAUAAUCUACACAUUUUUAAAAUUAGAGACAUUGAAACUAAAUGCCAUACCAGUAGAUUUGGAGAGAAGAUCUUUCAGCAUCAGAAGUUCCUCAUUUGAUAGGCAUGGAAUGGGUGAAGAUGUGGAUGCUUGAGAUUGAUUUGCUGAAUCUGUUUUUACCUUCUUAUUUUUAUCCUUUUUGCUGUCCUUGAAUUUCUUUUCUGGAAACCCAAUAAUGUGGAAGCACUCUUUCCUAAUGUGACCAUAAAAUUUGCAGUUGUCACAGUAUUUUGAGGUGUCUAACUUUCUACCAUUUUUGCUAUAUAAGCCUUUUUCUUCUUUGCCUUCUUUGGCUUUAUUUUCUUCAUUUGUUUUCUUGACAAAAAAUGCAGAUUCACUUACUGUUUUCUCAUUUUUAUCCCUAAAAUUGACAAUCUGUUUCUCUUCUUGUAUAAUCAGAUAAAAUACCUUACUCAUAGUGGGCAAUUCAUUAUGAGAAAGAAUUUGACUUCUAAUUGUUUUGAAAUUGUCAUUCAGUCCUAGAAGGAACUGAUGGAUUUUAUCCUUCUCCAGUUUAUUUGUAUAAACUGAAGAACAUCGCUCACAAAAAAUGCAAUCAUCUAAAUCUAAUUCCACUUUUUGAUCCCAAAGUGCUUUGAAUUUAUCAAAAUACACUACAAAAAACCAGCGCAGUUCUGGCGGCCUGGCCGCCGAUAUAAUAGUUCCUGGCGGCCAAGCCGACGAUAUUCCAUCGCCGGAAGUAAUGUCGCCGGAAUUGUGAAAUACCGGCAGCUUGGCCGCCGACAAAAAAUUGUGGAUUCCGAUUUUAACAGAAAUUGUCCCGGCGGCUUAGUCGCCGGUAUUUUUUUUUGAAAAUUAUAUCCCGGCGACCUACAGUUAUUUUUGGAAAAUAAUUUGCCAACGGCCUGGCCGCUGGUCAAUAUUUCCCGGCAGGAAAAAAAAAUUCCCCGGGGAAAAAGUUCUGACGGCCAAGCCGAUGGUUCACUUUUGAAAAAUAAAAAAAAAAUUAUUUUAAUUUUGUUUUGUAAUAUAUUUUUUUGUAUGAAAUUAAUAAAUUAAAUUUGAAAUUGAAGUUUAAUAUUUAAUAUACAACAAAAAAUUAAAUUCGAUAAUUACUAAUUUAAUUUCUUUUUUUCGCUCUUCUUCUUUUUUUUAGUUGCGACCACCUUUCGUAACGCCUCUUUCGUGAAGAUAAUCGAUCUUCCUCCGCGCGGUUGUGGAGUAGUGUGUUCCUCUUGUGGCAUAGUUUGUUGAAGAGACGUCGUAGUUUCUUGCGUUGGUAGUUGAGUAGGUGGUGCGGCUCUAGAAGAUGAUGCUCCAGAAGAAUAAAUGUUGAACCCUCCUGCGGGAUGCGCUGCAUCGUUGUUGAAGAUUGGCGGAAACUCC
This 1820-nucleotide long non-coding RNA is filed under the name Zostera marina. Its description in RNAcentral is "long non-coding RNA (ZMAR_LNC004266)". The record is from RNAcentral. Lineage: Eukaryota; Viridiplantae; Streptophyta; Magnoliopsida; Alismatales; Zosteraceae.